GGCUGGUCUGAAAGUAGUGAGUUACUUCAAAUGACUAUUCAAAAACAUUAACAGACAGAAUUUCUUGUCAUACUCUCCUCCCUUCUCACUACCACACUUGACUAGUCUUAA
This is an unclassified non-coding RNA of Chlorocebus sabaeus (green monkey), 111 nucleotides long. It matches the Rfam family "Y RNA". From Rfam's summary of the family: Y RNAs are components of the Ro ribonucleoprotein particle (Ro RNP), in association with Ro60 and La proteins. The Y RNAs and Ro60 and La proteins are well conserved, but the function of the Ro RNP is not known. In humans the RNA component can be one of four small RNAs -- hY1, hY3, hY4 and hY5. The record is from Ensembl. NCBI's taxonomy places the organism in Eukaryota, Metazoa, Chordata, Mammalia, Primates, Cercopithecidae.